AGGGAACUGAAACAUCUAAGUACCUGAAGGAAGAGAAAGCAAAUGCGAUUCCCCAAGUAGCGGCGAGCGAAACGGGAUCAGCCCAAACCAGAAGGCUUGCCUUCUGGGGUUGUAGGACACUCUAUACGGAGUUACAAAGGAACGGAUUAAGCGAAGCGACCUGGAACGGUCCGCAAGAUAGGGUAAUAGCCCCGUAGCUGAAAGUUCGUUCCCUCCAGAGUGGAUCCUGAGUACGGCGGAACACGAGAAAUUC
RNAcentral lists this ribosomal RNA (253 nucleotides) under Streptococcus pneumoniae. RNAcentral describes it as "partial 23S ribosomal RNA". It matches the Rfam family "Bacterial large subunit ribosomal RNA", at positions 187 to 434 of the family's 2925-position model. The record is from RNAcentral. Lineage: Bacteria; Bacillati; Bacillota; Bacilli; Lactobacillales; Streptococcaceae.